AAAGUGGCUCUCGCAAAGGGGAGCCGUGAAUCGGGUCAGGGUGUAACAGCAGCAGCCCUAAACGGGGUACCCUUGUGCGAGAGCCGCUUUGCG
RNAcentral lists this signal recognition particle RNA (93 nucleotides) under Planctomycetaceae bacterium. Its description in RNAcentral is "signal recognition particle sRNA small type". It matches the Rfam family "Bacterial small signal recognition particle RNA". From Rfam's summary of the family: The signal recognition particle (SRP) is a universally conserved ribonucleoprotein involved in the co-translational targeting of proteins to membranes. Archaeal SRP consists of a 7S RNA and homologues of the eukaryotic SRP19 and SRP54 proteins. In most bacteria, the SRP consists of a 4.5S RNA and the Ffh protein (a homologue of the eukaryotic SRP54 protein). Lineage: Bacteria; Pseudomonadati; Planctomycetota; Planctomycetia; Planctomycetales; Planctomycetaceae. The record is from RNAcentral.